RNAcentral lists this ribosomal RNA (548 nucleotides) under uncultured bacterium. RNAcentral describes it as "bacterial SSU rRNA". It matches the Rfam family "Bacterial small subunit ribosomal RNA", at positions 154 to 697 of the family's 1533-position model. The record is from RNAcentral.
AAACGAUGGCUAAUACCGCAUGAUGCCUACGGGCCAAAGAGGGGGACCUUCGGGCCUCUCGCGUCAGGAUAUGCCUAGGUGGGAUUAGCUAGUUGGUGAGGUAAGGGCUCACCAAGGCGACGAUCCCUAGCUGGUCUGAGAGGAUGAUCAGCCACACUGGAACUGAGACACGGUCCAGACUCCUACGGGAGGCAGCAGUGGGGAAUAUUGCACAAUGGGCGCAAGCCUGAUGCAGCCAUGCCGCGUGUAUGAAGAAGGCCUUCGGGUUGUAAAGUACUUUCAGUCGUGAGGAAGGUGGUGUCGUUAAUAGCGGCAUUAUUUGACGUUAGCGACAGAAGAAGCACCGGCUAACUCCGUGCCAGCAGCCGCGGUAAUACGGAGGGUGCGAGCGUUAAUCGGAAUUACUGGGCGUAAAGCGCAUGCAGGUGGUUUGUUAAGUCAGAUGUGAAAGCCCGGGGCUCAACCUCGGAAUAGCAUUUGAAACUGGCAGACUAGAGUACUGUAGAGGGGGGUAGAAUUUCAGGUGUAGCGGUGAAAUGCGUAGUGAU